CAAUAGCGUAUAUUAAAGUUGUUGCGGUUAAAAAGCUCGUAGUUGGAUUUCUGCCGAGGACGACCGGUCCGCCCUCUGGGUGUGUAUCUGGUUUGGCCUGGGCAUCUUCUUGGAGAACGUAGCUGCACUUGACUGUGUGGUGCGGUGUCCAGGACUUUUACUUUGAGGGAAUUAGAGUGUUUCAAGCAGGCACACGCCUUGAAUACAUUAGCAUGGAAUAAUAAGAUAGGACCUCGGUUCUAUUUUGUUGGUUUCUAGAGCUGAGGUAAUGAUUAAUAGGGAUAGUUGGGGGCAUUCGUAUUUAACUGUCAGAGGUGAAAUUCUUGGAUUUGUUAAAGACGGACUACUGCGAAGGCAUUUGCCAAGGAUGUUUUCAUUGA
This 380-nucleotide ribosomal RNA is filed under the name uncultured eukaryote. RNAcentral's name for it is "partial 18S ribosomal RNA". It matches the Rfam family "Eukaryotic small subunit ribosomal RNA", at positions 592 to 976 of the family's 1831-position model. The record is from RNAcentral.